RNAcentral lists this ribosomal RNA (520 nucleotides) under uncultured Glomus. RNAcentral describes it as "SSU rRNA". It matches the Rfam family "Eukaryotic small subunit ribosomal RNA", at positions 569 to 1091 of the family's 1831-position model. The record is from RNAcentral. Lineage: Eukaryota; Fungi; Glomeromycota; Glomeromycetes; Glomerales; Glomeraceae.
AGCAGCCGCGGUAAUUCCAGCUCCAAUAGCGUAUAUUAAAGUUGUUGCAGUUAAAAAGCUCGUAGUUGAAUUUCGAGACCGGCUUACUGGUCGUGCUAUUGUACGUACUGGUAUAAUCGGUUUCUCCUUUCUGACGAACUAUAAUGCCAUUAAUUUGGUGUUUUAGGGAAUCAGGACUGUUACUUUGAAAAAAUUAGAGUGUUUAAAGCAGGCUCACGCUUGAAUACAUUAGCAUGGAAUAACGGAAUAGGACGUUUGAUUCUAUUUUGUUGGUUUCUAGGAUCGACGUAAUGAUUAAUAGGGAUAGUUGGGGGCAUUAGUAUUCAAUUGUCAGAGGUGAAAUUCUUGGAUUUAUUGAAGACUAACUACUGCGAAAGCAUUUGCCAAGGAUGUUUUCAUUAAUCAAGAACGAAAGUUAGGGGAUCGAAGACGAUCAGAUACCGUCGUAGUCUUAACCAUAAACUAUGCCGACUAGGGAUCGGAUGAUGUUAAUUUUUUAAUGACUCAUUCGGCGCCCUUA